Non-coding RNA from Chlorocebus sabaeus (green monkey), 12908 nucleotides. NCBI's taxonomy places the organism in Eukaryota, Metazoa, Chordata, Mammalia, Primates, Cercopithecidae. The record is from RefSeq and is a predicted model, not a curated record.
CCACUGCACUCCAGCCUGGUGACAGGGCAAGACUCUGUCUCAAAAAAAAACAAAAAACAAAAGACAAACAGAAAACAACUUACUGUUCAUAUGAAUGGUUUAAUUUCCUAAUUAUUUUCUAUUUGUAGACACAGACUUGGCCAUGAUCUGAGAAAUUUAUCAAAUCAACAGUUAAAAAGUAUGAUUUUUAGGGCACAGAUGAUUUUUAGGCCAUCGAAAAAUACUCUGAGAUACACUAUAAUGGUGAAUUCACGUUAUUAUACAUUUGUCUAAACCCAUGGAAUGUACAACACCAAGAGUGAGCCCUAAUGUAAACUAUGGACCCUGGACAAUGAUGAUGUGUUGAUGUAGGUUCAUCCACUGUAACAAAUGGACCACUCUGGUAAGGUAUAUUGACCCUAGGGGAGGAUGUGCCUUGCUAAGAGAUGUGGUGUGUAGGAAAUCUCUAUCUUCUGCUCAACUGCGCUGCAAACCUAGAGGUGAUCUUAAAAUUUGUCUAAAAAAAAAGGUUGCAAAUAUCAAAGGAUUAUUUUCCUCAUUGCAUAAUUUCAUUUGGAAAAAAAUCCGUAGGUUGAACUCAAAGUUAUAAAAAACUAGCUCUAGGCGUUUUAUCAGGAGUAGGAUUGGGGCACCUCUCAAACAAGAGGUUUUCAGUGCUAUUAGCUUCUAAAUUCUAGGAACUUUCAAAAAACAUUUGCAUUCAUCAUCAGAGAAAAUUUCUUGAGCAACUUUGUGUGGAUUUGGGUUUCAGGAUUUCUCACCAAAUUCCAGCCACUCCACACUUGCCUUCCUCCAAAUCUUACUAGCAUUAAAUGAAAACCUUUUCAUUGCUAGAAAUAGGUGCUGGCAAGUACAUUAAACUAGGCUGCAUCAAAUACUUGCAAUGUAAUCUGUAAAGCAUACACCUUAUUGUUAGCUUGGGAAAGCACUUACAUAGCUUGCUUUUACUUUCACAUCUUGCUGUUUAUGACAUAUUCAAGGAAGUAAAGAUGUUAUCAUAUAAUGUCCAACAACCAAACUGGAGUCACGUCUUUUGCAAGUGGCCAACUGAACUAGUAGUACAGGUAAACUAGAUAUGAAAGGCAAAACAGAGAAGCUUCCUAACAAAUUAAAGCACUCAGCAUAAUACCUUAACCAAGACAUGCCACAUAACCCGAGGAUUAAUUUAAUUAGCAUUACAUAAUGUUCUCUGAAAACUGAAUUACCUCCCAUCUCACAGUUUGAGAUAACAUCCUGUCAUCCAUCAUCACUGGGAAAAUCAUGGGUUCUCCAGUCCAAUUCACAUUGAGGCAAUUAUGUCUAGCUAAUAAGAAAUGUCAAGGAAUAAAUAUAGGCUACAACACUAAUUUUAUAUAUAUUUUAAGUCUGAUACUUAACACCUGUUAUAGCCCUACUCAGAAGAUGAUAAAUAAAUAAAUCUACAUAUUUUAUUUUUUUCAACUCUUCAACCCAAUCUAUAAUUUUAUAAUUCCUGUAAAUUUAUUUCUAUGGCUAAUACCUUUUAAAAAAUUGUUUGAGGACGUUACUAACGCUUACUUCUGCUCCAAGAAAGACAGACUAAAUUUAUGAAUUCCCCCUAGAAUAUAAAAGAAGUCAGGGUUGGGGGAGGACAGCAGGAAAAGCUGUUUUCCCAUUAAAAUUAAAUCCUUUCUCUUGACAUUUUUGGAUGUGGAAGUCUCUCUCCUCCCAUUUUGGCAACCUCUCUUCUCCUUCCCUUGGUGUCCCCUGGCCUGGACAUCACAGCCUGGCUGGGUGGCCACGAAUGUGCUGGGGGUCCCGGAGUCACAGAGUGCUCCAGAAAGCAUCUACAUGGAGUCCUGGGCACUGUAUUCAACCACGUGGCAGUAGAACUCAUUAUUUCCAGGACAUGUUGCUAAGACAGAAUAGAGCAGCCAAUAAAGUAUAUCAUCUACCAGCUUCCACAUUUAGCAGACUUUUAAAAGUUUGAAAGCAUGAACAGUGUUGUCUGUUCAUGCUUUCUGUUAACAGAGAAAAUUAACCUUGAUAACUAGCAGAUCCACAAAUGCCUAGGAAAAGCAUGGGAAUCAUUUUUUUCUUUAAAGUUGGAGUUGUGUUGUUUUUAGCCAUUUUGAUAUUACCUGCUGGUGUGUUUCAUGUAGUUCUGAAGAACCAUGUCCAUUAAAAAUAACUUGAAAACAGAAUUAAUGUCACAUAAUUCGCCUUUUAUUAUGUAUUAUAAUUUUAAAGAUUAAAAAAUGAAAAAUGUUAGCAAAUUAACAGUAAAGAUAUUUUAAAAGGGAACCGCAUUUAUCUACAUAUUCUAAUGAAGAGAUAAUGAUACCACUAUUGUAUAAAGACACUCUCAUUUUACAGAAGCUCAAUGAACAUGUUUACAAUGGAAAGACUAUUAGCUCAACUAAAUUAAGACUAUGCUUUUUCGGCUAAGUAUGUUUUAGAGAUUUUGGAAACAAAAUUAACUUACAUAAAUGAUUAAAUAUUAAUUUAGAAUUUUGACUUGAUUUUUAAGUUUGAUAUUUACGUAUUACUUAAUGUAUCUACUAUCUGAACUUAAAUGAAUUAACUCAUCUAAAUUAACAAAAUAUAUAACCCCUCCUCACUGUGAUACUAAAUAUUUGGUUGAGUAAUUUCUUUUCAUUGAAAAAUUGAUUAUGUUGGUACUAUAUAACUAUCAUCUCAUAGUCUUACAGUAAUAAGACUUUACAAUAAAAUAUACUAAGGUAUUUCCUUCUUGAAGAACGUUCAACUGUGUUUGAAGGUGAAGAUAAAUUCUAGUGAUUCUUUUCAUAACAGCACAUAAAAUUCAUUCAUCAGUUCCUUAGGGGACAAAUGUUUCCUUUUUGUGUCCAAGGGUAAUAGCUCUGAAUAGAAAACUAAUGAAAUAGAAAUUGCUUUGUCCUACAGCCAAAAAAGACCUUCAGAAGGAAUAAGCCUGUCAAGAUAAUGGUAUUUUUAUGUGUUUUGUUUUGUUGUAUUGUUGGUUUUUGUAUGUGGAUUUUAAUAUCUCAUACCACAGUUAAACCAUAAUUACUCAUGCUGCAUUCUCCGUAUCACCUGCUCAAGAAAUACAUCAUAAUCUGUUUCAGAACUUAGAAAACAAUACAAAGUAUAAUACCAACUGAUCUUGACAAUGUCAUCACCUCAUUACCAAAUUGAGUAGUGAAUUCUCAGUUAUCUUACUAGAUAACUUAUCUUACUAGAUAACUGAGAAUAUGAUUUUCACAACUGAUCCCUUCCUAUUUCACGCACUUUCUACAUUUGGCCUCCUGGAUACCACAGUGUCCUUUCCUUUCUCCCACCCCCUUCAGGUACUUUUGCUCAUUCUCUGUUACUUACUCUCUUCAACUCCUUAACUUCCAAUGUUGGUGUAGCCAUAGCGCUAACCUCUUCUCUCUCUUCACUCCCUCCUUUGUGACUGCACCCAAUACCAUAGCUUCAGACGUCAUCUGUGUGUUGAUGACUACCGAAUGUGUACCUCUAGCUCAGAAAUCUCCACCAUAGUCCAAUAGUCCGAGCCCAUAUGUAUACUUUCUGCUUGGCACCUCUGGUUAAUAUUUAAUAGACAUCUCAGAAAACCACCUGAUAUUUUCCCCACCAAACCUGCCUCCCACUCUCCCAUUCCCGAAGUCUUCUCCAUUUCAAUUACUGACAACUCUAUUCUUCCAGUUUGCAGGACAAACCAAAGAAACAGCCUCUAUACUUCUUUCUUUCACAUAUACACAAUCUGUCCACAUAUCAACUGUGUUGGUUCUACUUUCUAGUGAGACUUACAACCCAAUGGCUUCUCAUCACCUUGUACAAGCCCCUCUCCAGACUCAGCUGGAUCAUCAUAUUAGUUCCUAACUGAUCUCUACUGACACUCUUGCUAUACUUUUCUAUUUUCAAUACAGUGUCAAGUAAGUCAGGUCAUGUCCCUCUUCUAAGCAUAACCCUCCACUGUUUCCUAUUCAAUGCAAAGGAAAAGCCAACACCUACCAUGAUGCCUUCUAAGGCCUUAUCUGAUCUGCCUUCCUCACCACCACUCCCCAACUUCAGUCUAUGAACCACUGUCCCAUCAUUCAAGGAAAAUGACUUCUCUCCUAUUCUACUCAUCUCCAAGUUUUCCUGGUUUUGCAUACUUUUACACAAAUACAAACUCAAGGAAAUAUUUCUCUUCAAUGCAUUCUGUGGAGUUUUAAUACUCACAUAGCUUGUUUUUCUUUUUCUACACUGUAUCCUUUUAAUCCAGUGACGUAUUAUACAUUCAUCCUUUUUUAAUUUGACCCAAGCAUGUUUUUCCGUAAAUACUACCACAGUUUUCCCAGGGUACCUUGAAUUUGGUGCGUCUCUGCCCAGGGGUUUUUGUCCUCUUUUCACACCCUACUCCAGCUCUUUGGUUUCAACUGUUGACCAUACAAACCACUCAGAACAACAUGUAAUAAUGGUGGGAAAGUGAAACAAAAAAUAAAUAUCAAAAUUUCCAACAGACAAUAUGGUGCUUAAAAGCAAGCAUAUAAUGGUUACUACAAGAUGAUAAAAAAUUUAGCUUUGAACUCCCUAAUAUCAUUGUAAAGGAAACAUUUGACUAGUUAGGUCAUUCUAAUUUUCUUACUGUAUAAGAAACAUCUGUACUCAAGAUUAAUUUUUUUCUUAUAUUUAGCACUGUUAUUCUAUAGAAGACACAUCUAUAUUCAAGGUUUACUUUUUCCUUAUACUUAGCACUGAUACUCUACAUGUAAUAUAAAGGGAGCUUUAACAAGCAGCCAAUGAGAUUUAUCAUUGUGUUUGUUUCAGAAGUGUUGAGAAUGUCUCUAAAGGCAUUAGACAACAGAAGACUUACAUUGUUAGUGUCAUGAUAGUUCUUACUCUUAGGCAAUAGUUUUGCCUUUGUUUUUGUUUACAAUAUGGGCACUGUAAAUAUUGUACCUAACAGGUUUCCAUAUUAGCUUUUGCUGCAAUGAAGCUUAAAGACAAAUUUGUCAAUCCUGUCUAAUAAAUAUAUAAUAUUUCAUGGCAAUAGUAAUUCUACAGAAAAUAUAUUUCCCCUUCUCCAUUUCAUCUCUAAAUUCUGAGUGAACUAUAACUGGAUGAUUUACUAUGAAAUAUCUUGUUCUUUUGUAUUAUUUUUCAUAUUUUAUUUCAUCUUGACAUGUUUGUGUCUUGUAAGUUGUCUUAAAUGCUUUCAAAUAUAUUGGAAAUAAAAGAAAAAUAUAUAAAGAGGCACUGAAUAAUAUGAGGGGACUUCAAAAAGUUUGUGAAAAAUUGAAAAAUAAAAUAAAAUGAAAAAGAUAAACUAUUUUUCAACAUAAGCUCCAUCAAGGUCAAGACACUUUUGUAAGUGAUGAUACCAGCCAUUUAGUCCAUAUCUAAAGAACUGAGGGGCCUGGGAAUUUAAACAUAUUAAUGCAGUCUUUGACACAUUAACUGAAUACAACUUGAUGUUCUUUAAAUACUUUUUAAAAUUAGGAAAAAGAAGUCACAAAAUGCCAAAUUAGAUCUGUAAAGUAGAUGUCUAAUAAUCUCCCAUGAAAACUCUUGCAAAACUGCCCUUGUUGGAUGAGAGGAAUGAGUAAAAGCAUUGUCAUAGUGAAGAAGGACUCUAUGGUGAAGUUUUUCUGGGCAUAUUUCUGCUAAAGCUUUGGCUAACCUUCUCAAAACACUCUCAUAAUAAGCAGAUGUUAUUGUUCUUUGGCCCUCUAGAAAGUCAUCAGGCCAAAUGUCUUGAGCGUGCCAAAAAACUGUUGCCACCACCUUUGUUGUUAUUGGUGGUCCCACUUUUGCUUUGACUGAAACAUUGUCACCUCUUGGUAGCCAUUGCUUUGAGUGUGCAUUGUCUUCAGGUUCAUACUGGUAAAGCCAUGUUUCAUCUCCUAUGACAAUUCUCCAAAGAAAUAUUUGGGGAUCUUUAUUACACUUCUUUAAAAUUUCCCUUCAAAGUUCUAUUUUUGUCUGCAGCUAAUGUAGGUGCCACAGUUUUGGCACUCAUGGGGUGGAAAGUUUGCUCAACUUUAAUUUUUCAGCCAGAACUGUGUAAGCUGAACCCACUGAGAUGUCCAUGGCCUUGCCAAUUGUUUUGAAUGUUAAUUGUGAUCCUCUUCAAUUAGGACAAACAAGAUUAAUUUUAUCUUCACAAAUUGAUAUGGAUGGUCUGCCAUUGCAGGCUCAUCUUCCACAUCAUCUCAUUCUUUCUUAAAAUGAGUUAUCCACUGUUAAACUGCUGAUUCAUUUGAAGCAUUGCCCCCAUAAUUUUUUGUAAAAUAUCAAUAAUUUCACAUUUUGAUCCAAGAUUCACCAUAAAUUUGAUAUUAGUUUAUGGUUCAAUUUUAGUAGAAUCAUGCGACUCUUUUCAAACUCAUACCUUAUCGUUCUCAGUGCCUCAGACUAGAUCCUUUUCAGACAUGUUGUGGCAAGUUAAUAUGAGUUUUAGAGCAAAUAGUUUUGAACUAUGCAUAGCUUUUUACUAUGCAUUUUCCAUGAACUUUUUGAAGACCUCUUGUAGAAACUGUUACACCAUUUCAAACAAGCAAUUGUACUCCUGCAUUUUUUAGAUUGUUAUAGUUUCAUCUUAAUCCCAAUUCUCCUUCCACCUAAUUUAAUUGCUCAAUAAAUGUACCUUCAAUUAAUAAACAGAUACCCAACAAUUUAAUUGUGUUGAACCUUGUAUGUAAUUACCAUAAAGGACAUUUUAAAGUUUGAGAGUAAAUACAAAUUUUAUGAGAACCCCAAUACCCAUACACACACUAAAAAUUAAAUGCUGCUGUGCCCUGAAAAUAUUUGUAUUCUUCAGUUCACAAAAUCGUCAUAUAAAAGAUCCUAUCACCACCACCCUCACUAAAAAGUUUUACUUCAUAUAAUUUUAAAAUACAAGUGAAAAGGAAAAGAGGCCCCAGUAUCAAUGUUCUUUUUGAUUAUUUAAAAUAAAAAAGAUAAGUAUUUGAUUUUCAUUUAUUUAUGUCACUUAAUGGUUUAGGCCUCAUUUGCCUCACUGAUUAUGUGAGCAUUCAAACUAAAUGAUUUCUAAGAUUCUUAAAGCAUAUUUGAAGGUAAAGAAAUAGUAUAAAGGAAAGUGCAAUGUAAAUAUUCUUGGUCCAACAGAUACGUUUUCAGAGUUUAAAGUCACAUUUUAAAUUCAAUUCUUCUGAUUUCCUUUUAGAAAAAAAAAGAAUGCCAUCCAUUAGAAACAAAGUUAUUUUGUGUAAACUUCUACAGAGAUCAGAAAUUAAAUCCCUACAAAACAUUUGGGCUGCUAUAACAGUUUCACAGCAAAAGAGGCAUCUAAUCAAACCACUACACAAUCAUAGAAAAGCAUUCAAAUUUUUGAAAAAUCUUCUCUCUAUAUAAUAGAAAAUAUUUUCUUAUUUCUUAAAAUGGCAAGAAGUGCGUGAACCACUUUUUUGUUAUAUAUUUAUCUGUAAAUAUAUCUACAUACCCAAUUUAACAUAUUUACAAUGGAAAAAUGUGACCAUAUGGAAAUUUAUAUCAAUUUUUUUUUAGUAGAAAUGAUGUGUCCCAAACUUCACUGAAAACUUAUAUGUUGGUAGUUCAAGUAGUUUCCAGUCUAUUUUGAAAUAAGCCCUUUCAAAAGUCACUAGACUAUGGUAAGGCAUAUAUCGCCUAACAAUCCACCAAAUAAAAUAUAAACAGAUAUUCCAUUUUUUGCCGACCCAAAGAAUAAACAUGCAGGGUUUAAAUAUGGGAAAAUAGUAUGUAAUUCUCUGUUCUGUACUUUCCAUCUCAACUACUAACUCGCCUUUGAGAUCUGGAAAGUCCCUGAUCCUUUCUCCCUUCCUGUAUCUUGGUGAGGCCCAACACUCAGGUAGUUUUGCUCCUGUUGUCCUGCUUGUGGGUGGGUACAGGGAGCAGAAGAGCUGACGGUGCCUCGUAUCUUCCUAUCCUGAGAGUCACUCAGCUUCAACUUCUCUAAGGAGCCCACUACUGAGAUAUUUUGCAAGCAGAAGCUAGCUGGUUCUUCUGUUUGUCUGAUACCCAGAUAAGUAAAUCUUCCUUUGUUUCAAUAUUUGCAAUAUUCAUGAUGAGUAUUUCUUAGGGGUUUCUGAGUUAAUGAUGGCAACUGCUUCUCUCUUCCACACCCUAGAACUUACACAACAGCAUACAGUAAACUUAGGAGCAACUCUGUCCUAAGAUAUCUGAGACGUGCUCAUAUAGAGUCCAGGCCUCUCUGCCCUAUGAGACUCCAUCCAUGAAAUACUCUAUUAUAAAUCUAACAGCUUUUCAUUUAUAAUUUAGUUAUGGUUCAUAACCUACCUCAGAGAAACAGCAUGAAAUUUAAUGAGAUCAGAUCUAGGGGACGCUAUGAGCUUCAAAGAAGAUGGACAGCCCGUAAAUACUGUACCAAGUAUUAGAAUGACAUCCUGAGUUUUCAACACAUCUUAAAAAAACGGUAGCUUUGAAAUCAGAAAUCAGUAAACCAUCCUCAAGAAUUCUUGCUUUUAGACUUUGCUAUUAAUCCUUAUACAUAUAUACUUUUGCAAAACUUAAUUACAUAAUACUGAUAUUAAACUGUUUUGUAUAUUUUUACUUAUAUUUAAAUAAUCAACAACAUUUUGCUGAUCAUCUAUUACAUGUCAAACAUUACCCUAGGCUGAAUAUACAGAAGAAAGGAAGAAAGGAAAAUGAUGUGAUUCUAGUUUUCAGGAGAGACUCAAUAUAAUUGAGAAAUGCUAGUGAUAGCUUUAUUAACACAUAAUUUUUGCAUAUGAAAACACUUUAUCCAGUUAUAACCAGGAAUCAGAAUUUCCUCUUACUAGUCAUUUCUUAAAUGAUUGUGCAGAAUUGCAGCACACGCUUGAAAACUAGAAAAUGUGAAACUCAGAAUGCUGCUAUAAAACUGCUAAGUGCCAUCUUUUAUCCAAAUAAAUAAAAAAAACAGGAACACGUGAUUGUAAGCACAGGCCAUUAACAGAGCAAACCAAUUCAAUACAACAUAAAUGAGUCAUGGGAACCUGCUAAAAAUACUGGAUUCUCUGAAGAAGCACGGAGCCACUGCGAGAACAAUCAAACAUCUGUUAUUUACAACAGGUUUACAAGCAGAGCCUGUGUGAGCUCAUCACAAAGGUUUACCAACACAACCACAUUUUUCAGAGAUGAAGAGCAUAAGAGCGUCUUUUUCUUAUUUCAACAGUGUUUUCUGCUGAUGUUCAUGUGCUCAUUGUAGUAACUGAAAAAUAAGAAAGCAAUCCCUUGGCUCUUUUUUGAAGAAAAGCUAAGUGGAAGUGCUUUGGAAUACACUGCAAGUCAGAACAAACGCAACUGCAGACAGUCCUAUUACAGCAUCCACCCUCCCACUUUCCAGCACUGCACUGUUUUACUAUUCUCUCUGGGUCACAGAAUUAUAUGGAUAAUGAUGCUGCAAAUCCUUACUUAUGAAAGCUCGACUCAACCGAAAUGAUGUUUGGAAUUAUUUGGCUUCACCCUAUAAUUUUUAAUGAGUCACAGAAAAUGCAAAAUAGUCACUCUUAAAUACUGCAUCCUUUCAACUUCACCAUCUACUAUUGCAGAGUGAUAAAUUUAUGCUUUUAGUUGAGAGUCACAUUAAAAUUACCGAAAAGGUUAGUAAGAUCAUCUCCAGAGAAUUUGCUGGCGUGCAUAAAGGUGAAUUCAUUAUACAGAAGAAUGUACUAAAACAGGCAUCCACUAGGUGAAUUUAAAUGUGGUCUUACUGGUAGGUAAAAGUCCUACUGGUAAAACUAUUCUUUUAUAUACACUGUACAAACAUGACACACAAGCACAUACACACACACACAGGCACACACAUACAAGAACUUAGGAAGGGCCAUAGUAUCUCACUGAUCUCUUCAAGAAAAGGGAACGUAAGGUAAGGGACUUAAGACCUCUCAUAAAGAUGAACUAGAGUUGAAUCCCCUUUUCUCAUGGAAAUCAGUGAUGAGACCAUCUUUUUUCGAGGCUAUAAUAGUAAAUGAACUAAAGUAUGUAAAUGCCCAACAUCUCUCCUGAGAUAUGGAAGGCGUUACACUCACAGCUGCCAGAUAUAGCCUGCUUGUUUUUGUUCUGAGAAUCUUUACUAUCAUUGUCAUAUCCCAUGGGCCACCUAUAAUUUCUUACCAACUCUUCUGAUUACAGAGCCAAGAUCUGUUCAAUGUUCUUCACAACCACUGACGGUAUUCGUUGUUACAGUCUGAGGAGCAUUUAUGGCACGGCGCUGCUCACAUUGGGAUUACAGCCUAAAAACCCUAAGACAUUUUCUGAAAACGAUUGUUAAGCAAGGUCUCCUCUACUUGCUUAAGAGUAAUACCCUGUGCUGGCAGAGUUAAAAUUUGGAAGUGAGGUUUUCAUCUACACAGUCAGUCAAGACAUUUUUGGGUCUUGAUUCCAUUUUAUCUAGCCUCUUCUCCAUCCUUUCAGGUACUCUUGGGGACAAUACACCUGGGAUCAUUUCCCAGCUCUGUUGAUUUUUAAUUCUGUCACUUUGAAACAGUCAUUGACUCUCUCAGAUGUGCAACUUCCUUAUCAAUCGAGAAAGUUCUGUGUAUGUUCAAUUCAAUUUUAAUAGAGUAGAACAAAAGUAAAUACAAUUUUCACUGAAAUUUUAUAAGAUUAUUAUUUAAAACAAUGAAUAAGUACUUAAAAUAGUAAAGAAAAUUUGAGGAAUAUGGAAGUGGCACUUUCUUAAGAUGAUAAUAUAUCUUGUGAACUCAUAAUUAAAAUAUUGGCACCAGUAAAUAAACGAGCAGAAAUAUCCAUGAUAAAGAAUACAGAUGAUAAAAACAGUAAGAAUUAAACAGGGGAGUUUUUCAUAUAAUAAAAACAUUUAAAAGCAGAAGGAAAAAACUGAUUAUUCAAAGUUGGGGCUGAGACAACUGGAUAAUCAUUUGAGAAUGAAAGAAUUAGAUCUAUAGCUCACAAGCAUAUAGUCUCUUAUGCUGCAUUAAAUUUGUAAUGUAAAAAUGAUUAGAAGAAAAUCAAGGUACACAGUUUUAUAUAAGCUGUAUGGGAAAGGCCUUUGGAAUCUAAUAUCAAAGGUAGAAACAAUUACACAAAAGACUGAUCAAUGUUAUAUGAAGUUUAAAACUUUUAUAUAAAAACAUACUUUAAAAGUUAAAAAGUCAAUACAAUAUUUGCCACAUAUAGGUAAAAAAAAAAAAAGACUAUUUUUGAAAGAUAAAUUAAAUAUGGUAAUACACAAGACCAGAAAAUCCACAAAAAACAACUAUGACAAAUAAUUACAUGAAAAAUGUGCACACACAGUACAGUAGUGACACAGGACAGGUUGAGACAACAUUUCUUGUUCAAAAGAUUGUCAUAUGCCUGGAAGAAUACACAUCAAAAUGUGAGUAGGUUCCUGUUCAUAGGAAAGGUGUUUUUUUUUUUUUUAACUAUAGUUUUCUAAGCUUUUAUUUUUCAAGAGACAUAAUGGUUGUUAUAAUAAAAACAAAAGAAAUCCUACUUCUAUUAUAGGGGUAAAAUUGCCUUGAAAAAAUCUACCUCCUUGGUUUGUAAGAAUGAUAAACAGAAAAAGGCUGUGACAGCCCUAACAUGACGCCUGCAAAGUAGGCAUUCGGAGAAUGUGAGCUCCAUUUUCCUGGACACUCCAGGGUCCCCAUGAGCAGGUAUUCAUCAAUGAAUACUGUUGAGUUCACCAACCAGCUAUGAAGCAUCGUUAAGCCUGUUAUCCAAUCUACUUCUCUCCAAUCCUUCCAUAAAUGUGUCAUGAGAGUUUCUCAAAUAGCUUGCCAUAAUAGAGGAAAAUUGACUAUUAUAGCUAUUAUACUUUCAAUCUAAUAAUAUCUCACACAUAUUUGUCAAGCCGUUUACCUUUGAAAAAUUGAUGCAACAUGUAUUAUCUUAGUAUGCUGUGGUUCAGGUCUUAUCCAUAGAGUCUAGCAUAGGGUAGCACAUGGGGGAGGUACUCGUUAUAGACAGGGAGGUGAAAACACAGUCCUAGUAUCAAGUAUAGUCAGGCCUGCCUCAUCCUCAGCACCACUGUGUAGAAAGAAAACUGAUAGAGAAGAUACUGGGCGAGAAGAGAGUCAAGGCCUCCCGGCUGGGAAACUUGGUUAUAGCUAACAUAACCCUUAACUGAACAAGCAAUUAUUGCCUUUUUAAAAUCUGUGAUUCUUUCACAUUAUUCUUUUUCUCAUUACUUCAACAAUUUCUUCUCUUUACUAUAACCAUCACCAGUAUCAGCAAACAAUUCUACCAAUACUUUGACUCCUUCACAAACUCUCUACUUAAACUCCAGUGACCUAAGGUGAUUUUAAAUUACCUGAAGCAAAAAAUUCUCCAAUGUCACCCGUGACCUGAGAACUGUGGACUUUGUUGUCCAACAUGAUGCUCAUCAAUGUUUGGCAUCAGUUACUACCUCGUCUUCACCUUCCCCCCCUACCCCCAUACUUCCCUUUUCCUUCAUUGGUUCUUCCUUUGUUCCUUCACAUGGAGAUAUACUUAUUCCCCCAAAUCUAGAUGCUCACUAGAUGCUGUGUCAACAGCAAAUGCACACCCAUAUCCAACAACAAAGGCACCUGUAGCAUCUACACCAAAAACACCUAUUCUGUUUCCUCUCCUUUCUGUACAGGUGCAGCUGCAUGUUUGGACUUUUAUCUUGUGUUCUAAAGACCUUCCAAUAGCUUAUUGCUAAGCCUCCUUUUCCUUCCCCUUCUCUUUCCUAUCUUCUUCUCUGCUGUUAAAGGAUUAAUGUAAUGAGCUUUAGUUCUCAGGGGAAAUGCUUUAAUGAAAUUAGUAGAGGAAAAUAAAUAACCACAAAAUAUCCUGAUGCACCUCACCCCUCUUGUAGCCAGGGACUGGAACUUGUACCAGGGAAGCAAUCCAGUCGCUGACUUCUGGAAGGUGGAGGGGGUAUUGUGUUUACCACAGGAAAAUGUUAGUGAUUAUGCCCAAUUUGACAAUAUAGUGCUAGUCCUAUUCUCUCAAGAUCAAGCCAUGAAUAGGAAUCCAUGAGCUCAGAUCACAGC